This 1409-nucleotide long non-coding RNA is filed under the name Homo sapiens (human). RNAcentral's name for it is "HSALNT0112976". The record is from RNAcentral. Lineage: Eukaryota; Metazoa; Chordata; Mammalia; Primates; Hominidae.
AUUGAAUGGCUCUUAUGUGCUAUCUACAUGAUAUAUCUUUUCUUAAAUGAUCCUAACAACUCUAGAAAAUAAGUAGUACUAACUUCAUAUUAAGUAUGACUUAAACAAGUCAUGCACUUUGCAAAUGAUAUGGCAGAUUUCUGCUUGACCACACAGUGAAUGCUUUGUCCAAACCACCUAUUUUGCUUUGAACUAUUCUAUUUUGGCCUGGGAAGGGGAAUUACUGCUGAUGUGAUUGGUUAAUGGUUAGUCCUAUUACACCAGGCUUGUAUCCAUUGCUACCUUUUUGUAUGUCUCUGAAUUAUCAAACGAACAGGAGCCUCCUGACUGAGACUAUGUACUAUUAAUGGAUCAUAUGUAUCCAGAUAUAUUUACAGAUAGAAUACAUUUCAGAAACAUAAAGGACAAUAAAAAAUGGCAGAAUUUACAAUCUUAACAACAUGGUUGCAGAAGCAGAACGGGAAAGUCAUGUAGGCAGUCAAGGUAAUACGCACAAUGUAAACAUGUCAUCUAGGACAUGAAGAAAACCUUUUGGGCCAAGUAGUACAGCAUGUUUAGUUAGAUCUAAACAAAUGUGCAUGACUAUAACCCCAAAUCUGUAAUUUCAUUUCUUUCCUUUUCCACAAUUAUCCAAUCUUCAGUUUUACCAGUAGUAUCAGAGACAUUUUCUGCUCUUAAACUCUAGCUAUCUGUGACACUUCCUUCUGGAAAGUGUCCAAAGCUUGAACCCUCCCUAGUUUCUCACACAUCUGUGCAUUAUUAGCCUGUUUCUGGUCAAAUCGUGUGGCAGAUGAACAACAGCCACAAAUUCUUUGACAUUCUUCCUAUAGGGAGGUAGGGCCUAUUUGCUAUCUCCUUGAAUCUGGGCUGCCAUUAAUCUCUUUCCACUAAUGGAGUGCAGUGUUAGGGAUUAUGACAGUUGUAGACCUUGUUUCUAUGAGAUUGACAGCUUCUACUUCAGUCUCCUAAAGCCCCCAGGGACAAAACAAGAAGUCAGAUCACACUGCUGGAGAGACCACAUGGAGAAUAUUGAGAAUAUGUGGAGAGAGACAGAAGAAUCUAGCUGAGCCCAGCCUUCCAAUUGUCCACAGCAAGACAUAAUGAAUGGAAGUAAAACCACCUUGGAUCAGGUGAAAACUAGUAGUGAAUUAGAACACAGACACUGGAGCCCAAUUGCCGGGGACCAGACUUCAGCUCUGCCAUUUACUGUGGGAUGACCUCGAGCAAAUUUUUUCACAUCUUAGUGUUGUUGGGGUUUUCUCAUCAGAAGUAUGAGGGUAUAAUAGUCUUCACCUUAUAGAAUUGUUGUGUGUAUAAGUUAAUAAAUAUCUAGAUAAAUACAUGUGUGUAUACAUGUACAUGUAUGUCUAUGUACACACAUACAUAUGUGUGUAUUAGAAUGAUAGCCC